This is a long non-coding RNA of Daphnia pulex (common water flea), 2073 nucleotides long. RefSeq lists it as uncharacterized. Lineage: Eukaryota; Metazoa; Arthropoda; Branchiopoda; Diplostraca; Daphniidae. The record is from RefSeq and is a predicted model, not a curated record. The transcript is spliced from 6 exons.
GAAAGUAAAGUACGCCAUCUACUUACAUAAAUACAUAGGCAAAAAAAUUUUAAUAUUAUAGUUAAUUGAUCUUUUUAAGCUGUGCACUUCGUUUAAUUGAUUAGUUACGAAUUUUAUUCAACAUUUCUUCUCAGAUUUUUUGCCAAAGUUUACUUUAAUUCGCGAAAAAUAGACUAAGAAGUUUGGCCGAUAUGGGAAACAAUCGCAAAAAAAAACUUUUGUAGUUUUCAGUAAGUUUUGUAUUUAGAAUUUUAGGAUUUUUUGCCAUUGUGGCGCAUUGUGUUGUGAGCCAUUAUACUUCUUUGUAUAAUUCUCUUCUCACGACAUCGACAAUUCGUCCAUUUCAUUAUAUCACCUUGUAACCUUUUAACACUUUUUUUAUCCCAAUCGCAGAAGUAGAACUAAAAGUUAAUAGGGUUGCCAUUGAGUGAUUUAUGGCAUGAACAAUUGUACUCAACAACUGGGGAUUAUCAGGCGACUUUCCAGCGCGGAUUUAGAGGCACCUGGUAGAGAAAUUUCAUACUACUUCAUGGAAUCCCAUUUCUCGUGCUUCAUUCACGCGUGGAUUUCUUGGUUGGUGACUUGCUGUGGUUGAUCUAGAGCUGGUUGAUCGUUCGAUACGUGUUCCUUUUCCUUUGUGGAUAUCUUCAUAAAUUCAAAUUUUGUGUAUCACUGAAAUAGAAUCAGCAUCAUGGUUGUCCUUCCAGGAGGAAAAUGACUUGACGGUCAAUACAAGGGUAAAGAAAAUGACAACAAAUUCUAUUAUGGUGGUCAUCACAGAUAACAUGCAAGUUAUUUUUACAUAGCAUUUUGAGAAUUCAUCAUGUAGGGUGCAAUAGUUUUGAUUAUUUUUUGUUAAUUGAGAUUUUCUUUUAGAUUUUGCAUUUAGACUGAAUUAGAGCCAUCCGUCUGUCCUUUAAAGGAAAAAGAAAAGGCCAACACCACCAACACGGUCAACAAAGUUCUUUGUUUGUUAACCUGAAUUGGCUUUUACCACUUCAAUCCCCAUUCCUAUAUCCUUGGAAUGGGCCCACUCUUAUUUUGAGGUUAAUCCUGCGCCGCUAUUCCAUGGACGGAAUUCAUUCGUGGAAACUGACGAAAGAUCAGUGACGACUGACUAACGUGCUGACAUUCAGCAAUAAAGCUCACAUGCGUGCCAUCCUUCCGUCGCUUCGAGGCAUGGUUGUGCCUGCUCCAGCGUAAUUCGACUACCCAACUGACGGCUUGUCAACUCACCCCUCGCUGACUCCUACUACCCUUGUGCUCUCGUCUCUCAACACAGCACGGGGUUCAAAUUACAGGUUUCUACAUUUGUAUGACAGAUUUCAUGAAAAGUCAUGUCCUUUGAAGAAAUAUGACAAUGACUAUAAAGUAUACAGUCAACAAGGUCCCUUGUUUGAUAAUUUGUUGGCUGCUAACUUAGAAUCUCACCUGUUAUUUCCUUAAACGGGCCCUCCUCAUUUGAGUGCCUACAGGCUAACUCCUUCGCUACUUAUCGUGGACUUCAUCCAUUGCCGAAAACCGACGAGAGCAUGCUGUCAUUCAAGACUUAUAAAUUGUGUAGUUAGUUAAACUACAAGUGCAUUUCUGGGCUCCCUUCUUUUCUGUGGCCCCGUUUCCCUAACUAACCACUAACCAACGCCCGCCGGUGGUCACUCACCCGCUGUGAAACCAGGAGGAGGGGAGGGCUCUGGUCGAACGGGGACUUGGAAGGCCCAUGAUCCGAUGAAAACUUUUGGAGGGUCAUGAGUCUAACCCGGAAGCCUAGUAUGAGCAUAGGAUGAUCUCCCCGGAAAAACUUGCCUCGUACUUCUCUCUUCUUCUCGGUCCAGAUACUAUCUCUGGGGGCCGUAGACAAAACCUAUAACAGCAUGUGCGAGUUUAUAAGAAGCAGCCCACUACCCAAUGAAAGAAAAAGCCGUGGAUUAGUUUUGCGGACAUCUGCAUCAGUCACGCAGAUUUCCGCACAAAUAGAUCAUCGCUUUUUGUCUCAUUGCCGCAGCGGUGGUGCCGGGUUUGCAAUAAACUCGUACAGUAGAAAAAUGUAUUGAACCGGACGCUCUGUUUAUUGAA